GUUAGGCUCUCACCAGAACCCCCAAAAUCUUAAUUACUGAUUAAAACCCUCAAACACUCCCCGUUGUCCCGCAAAAUCGAAGCAAGCAGAAUCGCCCAUCUGCACCACCGCUCCGUUGCAUCUCUUUCCCACCGCUUUCCGACCGAUUCCCAAUCUCCGGUGAACGUCGGCUGCCCCACCGUUGCUAUCAAUUCUGCGGUGGAUGAAGAUGCUACCGUUGGACUGGAAGCCUUUUCUCGAAUACCACAUGUUGUGCCAGUAAUUGCUAAUUGCAAAUGCGGGGUUUUCCCGAGUUUAGGCUUGUGAUUUAAACGUUAUCUUAGCGCAGUUUUAAAGAAGAAAAGUAAACAAGAGCUUGUGUAUGAAAUUACAAGAUACAACUGAAUUUACCGAAUCAGAUGCUAUCCGUGAACUUAAAAGUACUCCAGGAUUUGAUAGCAGAGGAUGCUAAUAGUCUUCAAGUGUUCAUUGAUGGUCUCCGUCAAAAGCACUCGGAGCAUGCUAAUAAAAUCCAGAGUUAUAUACAGAACCAGUCAGUUGAUGAAACCGAGAUUAAAUAUUUGCAGGAAGGGGUAAGAGUGCUUCAAUUGUUUUUAAAAGAGGUGAUCGUGUAGGCGAAUUAACUACCUAACACCUGUUAACUGGAAUCUGUAAAGAUGAAGCUUCGGUUGUAAUGAAGGUGUCCAACUAAGAGGGUGAAGGAGGCACGUGAGAGGAUGAAAUUGCUGAUUGUUUUUAAUAUUUAUAAAUAAAACCUGUUUUUAGUUAUAAUUGAGCUGGCCUGUCUAAGAAGUCUGGAGGUUGUGUUUUUGCGCUUCAAGAUGAACAUCUGCAGGCCACCCAACAGUGCACGCAAAGCACCAGAACCACAAUCUUGAUGGUCGUUCAAUCCACAGUCCUGUUUAGCUAGCGGUUACCUCUUUCUAAACAUUUUAACCUUCCGACAAAAGGAAUGAAAGCGUAAUUAGUAACUUCUCUGAGGGAUCCAUAUUUCGCAAGUAGCUGAGCUACAUCAAAAUGGUUUACUCAGAGGAGAUGACAUAACAGACCGCUUCUUCCGGGUUCUUUGGAAAUCUGUGUCACAUUUUGAUGAGGUGAUGCAAUCGACUCCACAAGUGCAGUCCUUCCUCGCCAUUGAUAUUUACGCUAAAUCAGUAUAUUCAAUCUUGAAGCAUUGUCCAGUGGAUCAAAGAUCAAGCAGAAUAGAGUAUGUUUAGGUGCUACUGAGGUAGCUUGGUGUUGCUGCUGUUAGCUUUGUGUUCUGCUUGGUUCUGGUAUUUGGUGGUUUGUACUCCCUAUAAUAUCCCUUGAGUGUUCUCAAGGCUUUGGUUUUUAAUAUAUCCUAAUACACGAGAGCUCGCCCCUUUCUCCUGUGAGUGAGCAAACUAGCAGCCGGUGGAAGGCCCCGCUAACUACUCCAUACAAGAUGAACACUGACGCUGCUACAUCGGUGAGAAUGACAGGGUUGGGUAUGGUGGUCCGAGACAAUGUAGGUGACGUGCUAAUGGCUGCAGGCAUGAGGAUUGAUGCUGCUCUACCAGCUCUGCAAGCUGAAGCUGAAGCAGUACGGUUUGGCACGAGUAUGCUUGUGAAGCAGGCUACCGCUCCCUUGAGGUUGAAACUGAUUCCCUUGCGUUACUGAAGCUAUUGCAGAGGGACAACAGUGAGAGAUCGUCCGUCCAAGUUCUUGUUGAUGGUAUUCUCAGCUAUGCUCAGAAGUUUAUGCGUUGUAGGUUUCUUUUUGCCAGUAGAAUUUGUAAUAAUGUUGCUGAUUCCAUGGCCAAAUCAGCUCUUUCUUUCGAAGAGAUUAAGAUUUUGAUGGAAGAAAGCCCCACUUUUGCUA
Spinacia oleracea (spinach) is the source of this 1843-nucleotide long non-coding RNA. RefSeq lists it as uncharacterized. The record is from RefSeq and is a predicted model, not a curated record. The transcript has 8 exons. NCBI's taxonomy places the organism in Eukaryota, Viridiplantae, Streptophyta, Magnoliopsida, Caryophyllales, Amaranthaceae.